RNAcentral lists this ribosomal RNA (159 nucleotides) under Aspergillus avenaceus. RNAcentral describes it as "5.8S ribosomal RNA". It matches the Rfam family "5.8S ribosomal RNA". Rfam says of the family: 5.8S ribosomal RNA (5.8S rRNA) is a component of the large subunit of the eukaryotic ribosome. It is transcribed by RNA polymerase I as part of the 45S precursor that also contains 18S and 28S rRNA. Functionally, it is thought that 5.8S rRNA may be involved in ribosome translocation. Lineage: Eukaryota; Fungi; Ascomycota; Eurotiomycetes; Eurotiales; Aspergillaceae. RNAcentral also lists the same sequence under 2 other names. The record is from RNAcentral.
AAACUUUCAACAAUGGAUCUCUUGGUUCCGGCAUCGAUGAAGAACGCAGCGAAAUGCGAUAACUAAUGUGAAUUGCAGAAUUCCGUGAAUCAUCGAGUCUUUGAACGCACAUUGCGCCCCCUGGUAUUCCGGGGGGCAUGCCUGUCCGAGCGUCAUUGC